UCCCGGGCAGAGAGAAGCCCGGGACAGUGCAGCCGUCCCGCCCCGAUACCUGCUCUGCCGGUGAGAGGCUCCAGGCUCUGCAGCUCCUGCUGCCCGUGACCGUCCUCCAGCUCAGGCGCCCUGGGAAGGAUGCCCGACUCCUUAGACGCUGGGAAGUGUAAAAGCUGCAAAUUAGAAGAGACAAAGACCAUCUAUUGAGUGUAGGAGGACAUUGUGACCCUACAAGUCGAAUUUACAGAGAGAAGGAGAGAAAGAUCUUU
Long non-coding RNA from Ochotona curzoniae (black-lipped pika), 260 nucleotides. RefSeq lists it as uncharacterized. NCBI's taxonomy places the organism in Eukaryota, Metazoa, Chordata, Mammalia, Lagomorpha, Ochotonidae. The record is from RefSeq and is a predicted model, not a curated record. The transcript is spliced from 3 exons.